Long non-coding RNA from Carassius carassius (crucian carp), 1042 nucleotides. RefSeq lists it as uncharacterized. The transcript is spliced from 3 exons. The record is from RefSeq and is a predicted model, not a curated record. NCBI's taxonomy places the organism in Eukaryota, Metazoa, Chordata, Actinopteri, Cypriniformes, Cyprinidae.
AAAAACAAAAAAAUUAAGUUGGCAUUAUCCCUUUUUCACUGGCGGGGCCUUUCCCAGGCAGAUGCUUCCUUGGCACUUCAACUGUUUGCACGCUGCAGCGGAUCUAGAUUUCAAGGACUGAUUAACACGUCUCCGGUGGGGCAUGCAGCUGUCGUGGGGUGCUCAUGUUAUCAGCAGCAGAGAUGUAACCAAGCGUUUUUGUUACCUGGGGUCUUCAAACUUCACAUACAAUUAAGAAAAACUUCAGAAUAGACACAGUUACAGCUAUAAUUAUUCCCAGGUAAGUAAAACAUAGGUAAAAUUGCAAACAAUAGUGUUGGCUCCAUACAAUUACAUUUCUGAAGUAGGUUUUAUGUACCAACCACCAAAAGAAGGCAGAUACGAUCACCUUUCUGCCUCCUUCUACUACUGCACUAAUAGAAGCUUGAUUCAUAUUGAUAAAUACAGCCUACUUGGUCAAUUAAAUCUCAAUUUUGUGAGAUGCUGGUGAUAGUGUGAGAUCUUGUACAGUACAGUGGUAGUGGUGUGUGUAUAGUAGAACCUUUUACAACAAUUGAAUGGUUGAAAUACAGAGGUUCUCUGAUUUGUGCUACUGUCAUCAGGCAGUGAAUUUCGAUCAGAUUUUACUUGUUGACAGGAUCCAUCUGGCUAUGUGGAGAAAAGGGGAGAAGUGAUACUGAGAUGCCUGAUUGAGUACAUGGGGGAGAGAAAAGAAGACCUCAUCAGUGUCCACCAUGUAUGUAUUGGGCUUAAAGCUACUUGUCUAAUUUCUGUCUGUAUGUUAUUACUAUUGUGAUGAUAUGGGGUAAUUACUUUGCUCUUAAAAGAUAUUUAAAAUAGUAAUGUGAUGAUCAAUAAGGUACAGGCAAGGACAAUUGCAUUGUUUUAUUGUAAUGUAUCCUUUGAACCAGAAAAGACAACACUCAUGCUACAGUAGAUCAUGAUAGUAUAGUACCCACACUCUAUGGCAUUGUCAUGGUAGACUUCACUCUGGUCACAUGCUCUAGUCAAAGUAUCCAUCUAGUAUCCAUCACCUUAAGCA